This is a non-coding RNA of Xylariales sp. No.14919, 79 nucleotides long. The record is from the annotation of a GenBank genome assembly. NCBI's taxonomy places the organism in Eukaryota, Fungi, Ascomycota, Sordariomycetes, Xylariales.
GGGAGUUUGGCCGAGUGGUUAAGGCGCUGUGUUUAGGCCGCAGUGGGAAACCGCGCAGGUUCGAAUCCUGCAGCUCUCA